ACUCCUACGGGAGGCAGCAGUAGGGAAUUUUCCGCAAUGGACGAAAGUCUGACGGAGCAAUGCCGCGUGAGUGAUGAAGGUUUUCGAAUCGUAAAGCUCUGUUGUAAGGGAAGAAUAGCAAGAAUAGGUAAAUGAUUCUUGUCUUGACUGGUACCUUACCAGAAAGCCAACGGCUAACUACGUGCCAGCAGCCGCGGUAAUACGUAGGUGGCAAGCGUUAUCCGGAAUUAUUGGGCGUAAAAGCGCAUGUAGGCGGCUUUUUAAGUCUGAUGUGAAAGCCAGUGGCUCAACCACUGAAUUGCAUUGGAUACUGGAAAGCUAGAAUCUUGGAGGAGGU
This 337-nucleotide ribosomal RNA is filed under the name uncultured bacterium. RNAcentral describes it as "bacterial SSU rRNA". It matches the Rfam family "Bacterial small subunit ribosomal RNA", at positions 335 to 659 of the family's 1533-position model. The record is from RNAcentral.